RNAcentral lists this ribosomal RNA (497 nucleotides) under uncultured bacterium. Its description in RNAcentral is "partial 16S ribosomal RNA". It matches the Rfam family "Bacterial small subunit ribosomal RNA", at positions 28 to 507 of the family's 1533-position model. The record is from RNAcentral.
GAUGAACGCUGGCGGCGUGCCUAAUACAUGCAAGUCGAGCGAACGGACGAGAAGCUUGCUUCUCUGAUGUUAGCGGCGGACGGGUGAGUAACACGUGGAUAACCUACCUAUAAGACUGGGAUAACUUCGGGAAACCGGAGCUAAUACCGGAUAAUAUUUUGAACCGCAUGGUUCAAAAGUGAAAGACGGUCUUGCUGUCACUUAUAGCUGGAUCCGCGCUGCAUUAGCUAGUUGGUAAGGUAACGGCUUACCAAGGCAACGAUGCAUAGCCGACCUGAGAGGGUGAUCGGCCACACUGGAACUGAGACACGGUCCAGACUCCUACGGGAGGCAGCAGUAGGGAAUCGUCCGCAAUGGGCGAAAGCCUGACGGAGCAACGCCGCGUGAGUGAUGAAGGUCUUCGGAGCGUAAAACUCUGUUAUUAGGGAAGAACAGAUGUGUAAGUAACUGUGCACAUCUUGACGGUACCUAAUCAGAAAGCCACGGCUAACUACGUG